RNAcentral lists this ribosomal RNA (401 nucleotides) under uncultured bacterium. Its description in RNAcentral is "bacterial SSU rRNA". It matches the Rfam family "Bacterial small subunit ribosomal RNA", at positions 975 to 1375 of the family's 1533-position model. The record is from RNAcentral.
CUGGGCUCGAAAUGCUAUGGACCAGCUGGUGAAAGCCGGCCUUCCCGCAAGGGACCGUAGUAUAGGUGCUGCAUGGCUGUCGUCAGCUCGUGUCGUGAGAUGUUGGGUUAAGUCCCGCAACGAGCGCAACCCUUGUCCUGUGUUGCCAUACCGAAAGGUGGAACUCGCAGGAGACCGCCAGGGAUAACCUGGGGGAAGGUGGGGAUGACGUCAAGUCCUCAUGGCCUUUAUGUCCAGGGCUACACACGUGCUACAAUGGACGGUACAAAGGGCUGCCAACCCGCGAGGGGGAGCCAAUCCCAAAAAACCGUUCUCAGUCCGGAUUGCAGGCUGCAACUCGCCUGCAUGAAGCUGGAAUCGCUAGUAAUGGCGGAUCAGAACGCCGCCGUGAAUACGUUCCC